Molecule: non-coding RNA, 1636 nt
Organism: Camellia sinensis
Lineage: Eukaryota; Viridiplantae; Streptophyta; Magnoliopsida; Ericales; Theaceae
Source: RefSeq, a predicted model, not a curated record
AUGAAAAUUUUUUGCGACAAAAAAAUAUUUGGUCGUCAUUUAUAAAACGACGUCGUUUUGUACCCACUCUCAGAAUCAAAAUUUGGUCGCCAUUUAUAAAAUUUGGUCGCCAUUUCUAAUCCCCGUCUCUCCUCUCUGUCUCCAGCUCGCUCUCUGUGUCUCUGUAUAUGUUGAUCCUCCCUCUCCCUCUCUCUGUAUUCUCUCUCUCAAUCGGUGGCCACUCUCUCUAGCUCACCGAAGUCCCUCACGACCGUGAAAGCAAAACAAGCUGAGAGAGAGCUCAUAGUGCUGAAUAGAGAGAGCGCCAAUUUGGUUAGAAACAGAAGCAGAAGAAGAGGGAUGACCAAUCCACUGUCGUCAGAGACUCUCCGGCCGAUCGAAACCUUAGAAAUCGAGAACGACCUCUCUCUAGUCCCCCGCAUGAAGCUCCUCCUCACUAUCCACUGUGCAGACCACUCCGUCAAGCCCCUCGACGAGUGGUAACUCAAGCGCUCCCUCUCUCAUCUCUCUUUGAAAUAGGUGCGAAACAAGCAAACAACGAACCACUCGCUCGCUCGCUCUCUCUCUCGUCUUUGCGUUCGAUUCGAACCCUAGGCACAUUGAAUCAAUCAUUCGGAGUCUCUCUCGGGAUUGAUCAAGACCAUUGUUGGGGUUGUGGAGGCUUGUCAUUCUCUUGGGGUAAUGCACAGAGAUCUCAAGCCUGAGAAUUUCUUGUUCGAUACUCCUGACGAGGGCACCAAGCUCAAGGCCACUGAUUUUGGGCUCUCGAUUUUCUAUAAACCUGGCAGAUAUUGACAACAGUGGAACAAUUGACUAUGGUGAAUUUAUUGCUGCUACGUUGCACAUAAAUAAGAUGGAUAGAGAAGAGAAUUUGAUCGCAGCAUUCUCUUUCUUUGACAAGGAUGGUAGUGAUUAUAUAACGAUUGAUGAGCUUCAAUAGGCUUGCAGAGACUUUGGUCUAGGUGAUGUUCAAUUGGAUGAUACGGUCACAGAAAUUGAUCAAGAUAAUAUUGGGGGUUGGCAAUAUAUUGUUUUUCCGGGACGGUAUAUUUACACUCAGAGGUUCAAAGAUGCAAAUGUCAAUGAUAAGUGAUGGUUGGUGGAUCAGAUACCUUAUCCUGUGCUCAAUGUGGCAAACCUGCCCAUCUUCAGUGAAUAGCAGAUGCUGCAGCUAGAAGUCGAAACUAUCCCACUCUGAAGCAUAAACUGUGAGUAUCUUGAUCAGUGAAGUGCCAAACAGUUGGGAGCAACUGCUGUCAAUUUGGUUGCUGGAGAAAAACCUGCUGAUGUUUACUCAUGAAUAGCUGCUAGGUAAGUAGCUUUUUCACAAUGCAAUAGUUAUGAGCAUUAUCAAUUUCUCUUUUCUACAUGGAUUCUUUCCAAACCCCUUCCUUUUGUAAGCUUCUCUUUAUUGGUAAUUCUGUGCCUGAUUGGCCCAGUUCUUAUGCAGGCAGUUUCUAGAAGAGCCACCUUUCAUGAAACAAUUAGAGACUAUGAACAAGCAGCCAGUGACCUUCAUAGACUGAUCUCUCUUCUUGAAAAGCAAUCACAAGAAAAGGUUCAACAGUGUGGCUCUGGCGGCAAUGUUAAAGAAUUAAGACAAGCUCGUCGUCACGUAUCCUCAGUGGAAGAAAAG